Molecule: ribosomal RNA, 253 nt
Filed under: uncultured bacterium
Lineage: Bacteria
Description: partial 16S ribosomal RNA
Rfam family: Bacterial small subunit ribosomal RNA
Source: RNAcentral
UACAGGGGGUGCAAACGUUGCUCGGAAUCAUUGGGCGUAAAGCGCACGUAGGCGGUUCGUUAUGUCGGAUGUGAAAGCCCUUGGCUUAACCGAGGAAGUGCAUCCGAAACUGGCGAGCUAGAGUACGAAAGAGGAUCGCGGAAUUCCCGGUGUAGAGGUGAAAUUCGUAGAUAUCGGGAGGAACACCGGUGGCGAAGGCGGCCAUCUGGACCGUAUCUGACGCUGAGGCGCGAAAGCGUGGGGAGCAAACAGG